CGGGGGCAAUCACCUGUAGAGUCCUGACUGAAGGCCCAGGGAACAGUGGGGCACUGGAGAUGGCCCCAAGGUCUCUGAGACUCUUUCCAAUGGCAUGUGAAGUCUAUGCUUCUUCUUCUUGAAUAGAAAAAGCUUACAAAUGCUUCAACAAACAGAAUGUGGCAGAAGUAAUGGCAUGCGCCUUUUGAAGGGAGGUCAUAAAAUGCCAUACAGUAGCGACCAAGGGGAAGCUCCAAACGUUCCCCCUCCAAACACAGCUGUCAUGCUGGGAGAAGUCCAAGCCAUAUGGAGAGGUUGCAUGUAAAUUCUGGAGUCAACAGUCCAGCAGGACACAGCCUUCAAGCCACCACCACCCAGAAAGCAGACUCAGAAGCCUCCAGAUGAUCCGUCCAGACCUCAGAUCUGCGGCACCCCAUCUGUGGAAUCUUCCUCACUAAGGCCCUGGACAACUGUGCAGCAGAGUCAAGCUGCCACCUCUGUGUCUUGCUCAGAAUUCUGUCCACAUAACUUGGCAUGAAGAUGCAAAGGAUCCAUGCUGUGAAAGGCAUAAUGGAAGAGAAACAAUUGGAAAUACCAACUGCAAACAGAGCGCAUAGUCCCGAAUGUGAAAUAAUUUACAAGUUAAUGUGGGUCAUCAUAUGAUAAGACUCCAUAAAGCUUUGAGACUUCCUGCUGCUCUGAUGUUACAAUAAUUAUAAGGGAAAUGAGAAUUAGCAAAGCAACUACCAUAACGUUCACUGUGUUCCAGAACUAAGCACCAUUAAUGCAGUAUCCCCCUAAACCAUCAUACAAAAACCAUGCGCAACAUACUCUUAUGCCCGUUUUACAGAUGAAGAAACUGAAAAUCAGAAAAGUAACCAAUCAUGUAUAUAAAUAAUGACAGUAAGUGCUAGUUGCACACAAAAUCCAUUUGCCCCUUUCUUCUUCAUCUAAGGAGACAAGGCACCCUGUUAAAGACUAGUUCUCCCAACUAACUACCCUUUCAUCUAGGUGUAGUCAUGUUAUUCUGUUCAGUCUAAUGACAUACUAAAGUGUGCUGUGGA
Long non-coding RNA from Artibeus jamaicensis (Jamaican fruit-eating bat), 1043 nucleotides. RefSeq lists it as uncharacterized. The transcript has 3 exons. Lineage: Eukaryota; Metazoa; Chordata; Mammalia; Chiroptera; Phyllostomidae. The record is from RefSeq and is a predicted model, not a curated record.